UUAAAAAUGCAAUGUAAGUCGCUUUGGAUAAAAGCGUGUGCUAAAUGACCUGUA
Non-coding RNA from Gasterosteus aculeatus (three-spined stickleback), 54 nucleotides. The record is from Rfam. NCBI's taxonomy places the organism in Eukaryota, Metazoa, Chordata, Actinopteri, Perciformes, Gasterosteidae.